GGGAGAAAGUGGAACACCCGGCUUUAGAAAGCUCUCUGCUAACUCCAGCUGCAGAUGUCAUCCAGUCUGUGGGUGUUUUCAUUCCAGCUCAGAAGCCCUCUGAUGCCUCGCUGGCUAGGCGGGUGUCCUCUUCCUCCCUCUCUGCUCCUUGUGUGUCCCUCCCGAAGCUGGGGAAGCUGGGUGCUCUGUCUAAGGAGAGGAUGACCUUCCCCACAUAGAGGAGGACCAGUCUUUGUGUACGAGAAGCUGAGCUCCCCUGUUACAACCUCCAAACAAGUUCUCAAGAUAGACAAAGUGUGACAUCUACACAACAACCAACUUUUACCCAUAGGAGGAUGAUUAGGGAGAUUUUCCCCCAGUGCAGAUACAGACUGUGAACAUUUCCUGGAUCU
This 392-nucleotide small nuclear RNA is filed under the name Microtus ochrogaster (prairie vole). RNAcentral's name for it is "7SK RNA (ENSMOCG00000008909.1)". It matches the Rfam family "7SK RNA", at positions 42 to 331 of the family's 331-position model. Rfam says of the family: 7SK was discovered as an abundant small nuclear RNA in the mid-70s but a possible function has only recently been suggested. The record is from RNAcentral. Lineage: Eukaryota; Metazoa; Chordata; Mammalia; Rodentia; Cricetidae.